Molecule: ribosomal RNA, 253 nt
Filed under: uncultured bacterium
Lineage: Bacteria
Description: partial 16S ribosomal RNA
Rfam family: Bacterial small subunit ribosomal RNA
Source: RNAcentral
UACAGAGGUCUCAAGCGUUGUUCGGAUUCAUUGGGCGUAAAGGGUGCGUAGGCGGCGCGGUAAGUCGGGUGUGAAAUCUUGGAGCUUAACUCCGAAACUGCAUUCGAUACUGCCGUGCUUGAGGACUGGAGAGGAGACUGGAAUUUACGGUGUAGCGGUGAUAUGCGUAGAUAUCGUAAGGAAGACCAGUGGCGAAGGCGGGUCUCUGGACAGUUCCUGACGCUGAGGCACGAAGGUCAGGGGAGCAAACGGG